RNAcentral lists this ribosomal RNA (240 nucleotides) under uncultured bacterium. Its description in RNAcentral is "partial 16S ribosomal RNA". It matches the Rfam family "Bacterial small subunit ribosomal RNA", at positions 333 to 590 of the family's 1533-position model. The record is from RNAcentral.
AUGUGCCUACGGGGGGCAGCAGUGGGGAAUAUUGCACGAUGGGGGAAACCCUGAUGCAGCAACGCCGCGUGAGUGAUGACGGCCUUCGGGUUGUAAAGCUCUGUCUUCAGGGACGAUAAUGACGGGACCUGAGGAGGAAGCCACGGCUAACUACGUGCCAGCAGCCGCGGGAAUACGUAGGUGGCGAGCGUUGUCCGGAUUUACUGGGCGUAAAGGGAGCGUAGGCGGACUUUUAAGUGA